CUACGGGAGGCUCCAGUUGGGAAUCUUGGACAAUGGGGGAAACCCUGAUCCAGCCAUGCCGCGUGAGUGAUGAAGGCCUUCGGGUUGUAAAGCUCUUUUGCCCGGGAAGAUAAUGACUGUACCGGGAGAAUAAGCUCCGGCUAACUUCGUGCCAGCAGCCGCGGUAAUACGAAGGGGGCUAGCGUUGUUCGGAAUUACUGGGCGUAAAGCGUGCGCAGGCGGCCUUCCAAGUCAGUGGUGAAAGCCCGGAACUCAACUCCGGAAUUGCCAUUGAAACUGUUUGGCUUGAGGACGAGAGAGGUGAGUGGAAUUCCCAGUGUAGAGGUGAAAUUCGUAGAUAUUGGGAAGAACACCGGUGGCGAAGGCGGCUCACUGGCUCGUUUCUGACGCUCAUGCACGACAGCGUGGGGAUCAAACAGGAUUAGAUACCCUUGUAGUC
RNAcentral lists this ribosomal RNA (439 nucleotides) under uncultured bacterium. RNAcentral's name for it is "partial 16S ribosomal RNA". It matches the Rfam family "Bacterial small subunit ribosomal RNA", at positions 339 to 795 of the family's 1533-position model. The record is from RNAcentral.